Ictalurus punctatus (channel catfish) is the source of this 1002-nucleotide long non-coding RNA. Lineage: Eukaryota; Metazoa; Chordata; Actinopteri; Siluriformes; Ictaluridae. The record is from Ensembl.
CCCAACCUACUCCAAUUUGAUUCUUUUCACAUAUUUAGACAUAAUAUAGUACUAUGAAAUGUUUCUGACCUAAAAUUUUACGAAAUAUGAUUGUUUACAUUAAAAUGUAAAAGUUGAUGUUACAGUGUGAUAAGGUGAAAAAAGUGACAUUUUAUGUCUAGAAAGUCAAUUUUCAUCAAAAGUACAAUAACAAAACUAGUUCCCAUUCAUCCUGUGUCAAGUGUGAUAAGGUGAAAAAGUGACAUUUUAUGUCUAGAAAGACACUUACAUCAAAAGUGCAAUAACAAAACUAGUUCCCAUUCAUCCUGUGUCCCCAUACACACUUCUGCUCUUUAUCCGCUCAAAACGCUAUACAGCGAACGAGAAGGCGCUAGGAGCAAAGGAAAGUGGUUUUUCUAACAAACUCAUAUAAUCAGUUGCCCGACCUACUCCAAUUUGAUUCUUUUCACAUAUUUAGACAUAGUAUAGUACUAUGAAAUGUUUCUGACCUAAAAUAUUACGAAAUAUGAUUGUUUACAUUAAAAUGUAAAAGUUGAUGUUACAGUGUGAAAAAAGUGACAUUUUAUGUCUAGAAAGUCACUUUACAUCAAAAGUGCAAUAACAAAACUAGUUCCCAUUCAUUCUGUGUCCCCUUACACACUUGUGCUCUUUAUCCGCUCAAAACGCUAUACAGCGAACGAGAAGGCGCUAGGAGCAAAGGAAAGUGGUUUUUCUAACAAACUCAUAUAAUCAGUUGCCCGACCUACUCCAAUUUGAUUCUUUUCACAUAGUUAGACAUAAUAUAGUACUAUGAAAUGUUUCUGACCUAAAAUAUUACGAAAUAUGAUUGUUUACAUUAAAAUGCAAAAGUUGAUGAAAAAGUAUGAUAAGGUGAAAAAAGUGACAUUUUAUGUCUAGAAAGUCACUUUACAUCAAAAGUGCAAUAACAAAACUAGUUCCCAUUCAUUCUGUGUCCCCUUACACACUUGUGCUCUUUAUCCGCUCAAAACGCUAUACAGCGAA